RNAcentral lists this ribosomal RNA (263 nucleotides) under uncultured bacterium. RNAcentral describes it as "partial 16S ribosomal RNA". It matches the Rfam family "Bacterial small subunit ribosomal RNA", at positions 28 to 293 of the family's 1533-position model. The record is from RNAcentral.
GACGAACGCUGGCGGCGUGCUUAACACAUGCAAGUCGAGCGGUAAGGCCCUUUCGGGGUACACGAGCGGCGAACGGGUGAGUAACACGUGGGUGACCUGCCCUCAGCUCUGGGAUAAGCCUGGGAAACCGGGUCUAAUACUGGAUAUGACUCCAUGACGCAUGUUGUGGGGUGGAAAGCCUUGUGCGGCUGAGGAUGGGCCCGCGGCCUAUCAGCUUGUUGGUGGGGUGAUGGCCUACCAAGGCGACGACGGGUAGCCGGCCU